This 335-nucleotide RNase MRP RNA is filed under the name Mucor circinelloides 1006PhL. Its description in RNAcentral is "Mucor circinelloides f. circinelloides 1006PhL RNase MRP". It matches the Rfam family "RNase MRP". Rfam says of the family: RNase MRP is an enzymatically active ribonucleoprotein with two distinct roles in eukaryotes. In mitochondria it plays a direct role in the initiation of mitochondrial DNA replication. The record is from Rfam by way of RNAcentral. Lineage: Eukaryota; Fungi; Mucoromycota; Mucoromycetes; Mucorales; Mucoraceae.
AGCAACAGAGAAGAUCUGCACUUGACGUUAAUUAAUUAUACAUACUGGAAUGUUUAUCAUUCGAUACAAUUUUUACGUUAGGGAAGGUCUCCAGACUAUUGUGGCUCUCUUUUUAUUAAGAGAGCUAUACCUGUAAUGGGUAUAAAAGAUGCGUUGCCUCUGGUUAACGUGCUUUCUCUAUCUUUUGGCAAAAACAAAGUUCGAGUUUCAGAAGCUCUAGAGAUUGCUAUUUCACUGGUCAUAGUUAUAGUUAUUGCGGAUACUAUUUCUCUUGCGCUUUCUUUGUAAAGCACCUGAGAAUAGUUAACAGAAUGGAGACUACUCUCUCAAGUUGC